AUUUUAAAUCUAGCCUAAACACAAAAUACUUUUCCCUAAUAUACAAAACAUUAUUAUAUGAUAGUACGGGCGACAGAAAACUUACUAGCGCAAUAGAAAAAGUACUGUAAAGGAAAGAUGAAAUAAAAUUGAAAUAGAAUAAAAAUAUAAAAUAGCAAAGACUACAACUUCUACCUUUAGCAUAAUGGUCUAGCCAGUCUACAUUAACAUAAAGAACUUUAGUUAUAUAUCCCGAAACCAGGCGAGCUACCCUAAAACAGCAAUAUAUGAGCAAACCCCUCUCUGUGGCAAAAGAGUGAGAAGAAUUUUUGGUAGAGGCGAAAAACCAAACGAGCCCGGAUAUAGCUGGUUACUUGAGAAUGAAUUUUAGUUCAAUUAAAAGCAUAAAUAUUAUAAAAACAUAAGCGCUUUUAUUAUAAUUAAUUGGGGUACAGCCCACUUAAUAAAGGAAACAACCUA
Molecule: ribosomal RNA, 459 nt
Filed under: Desmognathus marmoratus
Lineage: Eukaryota; Metazoa; Chordata; Amphibia; Caudata; Plethodontidae
Description: partial 16S ribosomal RNA
Rfam family: Bacterial large subunit ribosomal RNA (bases 154-459)
Source: RNAcentral